This is an RNA transcript of Passer montanus (Eurasian tree sparrow), 5368 nucleotides long. It is a transcript of the gene named BAR/IMD domain containing adaptor protein 2, with no coding region annotated. Lineage: Eukaryota; Metazoa; Chordata; Aves; Passeriformes; Passeridae. The record is from RefSeq and is a predicted model, not a curated record. The transcript is spliced from 15 exons.
CCGCUCCGCGCCCGGCUCCGCCCGCCGCUCGCCCCGCACCCCGCGCCGCCGCCCAUGGUGCUGCCCGGCCCGCCCGGCAUGGCCCGCUCCGAGGAGGUGCACCGCCUCACCGAGAAUGUCUACAAGACCAUCAUGGAGCAGUUCAAUCCCAGCCUCAGGAAUUUCAUUUCUAUGGGGAAGACCUAUGAAAAAGCCUUAGCAAGCAUGACCUACGCAGCAAAGGGGUACUUUGAUGCUCUGGUGAAGAUGGGAGAGCUGGCCAGUGAAAGCCAAGGAUCGAAAGAAUUGGGGGACGUGCUCUUCCAGAUGGCAGAGGUGCACAGGCAGAUCCAGAACCAGCUGGAGGAGAUGCUCAAGUCCUUCCACAACGAGCUCCUGACGCAGCUGGAGCAGAAGGUGGAGCUGGACUCCCGCUACCUGAGUGCUGCGCUGAAGAAAUACCAGACAGAGCAGAGGAGCAAGGGGGACUCCCUGGACAAGUGCCAGGCAGAGCUGAAGAAACUCCGCAAGAAGAGCCAGGGCAGCAAGAACCCACAGAAGUACUCGGACAAGGAGCUGCAGUACAUCGAAGCCAUCAGCAACAAGCAAGGGGAGCUGGAAAACUACGUUUCUGAUGGCUACAAGACAGCUCUGACGGAAGAGAGGAGACGGUUCUGCUUCCUGGUGGAGAAACAGUGCGCGGUGGCCAAGAGCGCCAUCACCUACCACGCCAAGGGGAAGGAGAUGCUGACACAGAAGCUGCCUCUGUGGCAGCAGUCCUGCUCGGACCCCAACAAGAUCCCGGACCGCGCCAUACAGCUGAUGCAGCAGAUGGCUGCCAGCAGCAAUGGCACCAUCAUGCCCAGCCCUCUGUCCACAUCCAAGUCCAACCUCAUCAUCUCUGAUCCCAUCCCUGGUGCCAAACCUCUCCCUGUCCCCCCGGAGCUGGCACCUUUUGUAGGACGCAUGUCAGCACAGGAGGCCAUGCCAGUGAUGAACGGAGUCUCAGGCUCUGACAGCGACGGGUACAACCACUGGUCUGAGAUGAAGCCAGCACAGCCCAAAUCUUUAUCUCCUCCCCAGCCUCAGAAGCAGCUGAGUGACUCUUACUCCAAUACACUCCCAGUUCGCAAAAACGUGGCACCGAAAAACAGCUACGCCUCAGCUGAAAACAAGACACUGCCACGCUCCAGCUCCAUGGCCGCCGGGCUCGAGAGGAACGGCCGGACGAGGGUGCAGGCGAUUUUCUCGCACGCUGCCGGGGAUAACAGCACCCUCCUGAGCUUCAAGGAGGGGGACCUCAUCACACUGCUGGUGCCCGAGGCCCGGGACGGCUGGCACUACGGAGAGAGCGAGAAAACCAAAAUGAGGGGCUGGUUUCCUUUCUCCUACACACGGGUCCUUGACAAUGAUGGCAGCGAGCGGGUCCACACCAGCCUGCAGCAAGGGAAGAGCAGCAGCACUGGCAACCUGCUGGACAAGGAUGACAUCUCCAUCCCGCCGCCAGACUAUGGCAUGGCCUCGCAGGCCUUCCCGGCACAGGGCAGCAACACCUUCAAGCAGCGGCCGUACAGCGUGGCCGUGCCCGCCUUCUCCCAGGGUCUCGAUGACUACGGGACGAGGUCUGUCAACAGCGGCAGUGGCAGUUUGGUAUCAACGGUGUGAGGACACCUGGGCUCGCAGCGGCCCCUUGCUGCUUGGAAGAGCUUUCUGCUUCUUUCCCCCCCUUUUUUUUUCCUUCCCUUUCGUUUCUCUUUCUCUACUUCUUUUGGAUUUGAAACUCUUGUGAUCUUCAAGGAAACCAUGGUGCUUCUCACCCCUCCCUGGUGUUCACAGUGCCCUUGUUUCUGAAGCCUUUUUGGAGCAGAAACUGCUGCCAGGUCUGUGCUCACAGCCCAGGCGCAGUUGUCACUUAGUGGGACCCGGUGUUUGUCCUCCCGUGUGAUGUUAGCGAUGCACUGUCCCCCCAGGGGCCGCGCCGGCCGCCCCGCACGAGCCUGGACCAAACUCCCAGACUGGAUCACAUAUGCAUGGCCUCUGGUGUCCGUACUGUUACUGAGCAUCCGGGAUGCCCGCGCCCGGGAUGCCGUUCCCGGAGGGGGGGCAGCGUCCCCGCGCCUCCCCCUCGGCCCGAUCCGCUUCCAUGCCACCGCGGUGGCUUUGGGAGAAGCGGAUGGCACAGAGCUCCCGCCCCGGGCAAAGGGCUGCUUCUGGGCUGGGGUCCCACUGGCCGUGGGAGCCCCCCCGAAGGGUUACUCCUGGUUGUUUUAUAAAUAUAUAUAUAUAUAUAUUUUUUGUAGCAAGGUAUUGUUACCUCACGCUAGGGCUGGGGCUCCGAGGACUGCUCGCAUGCCCAAACCAGGCUGAGCAAGGCAGUGCCCGGGGGGCUCCCACCCCGCACUGGGGGUCCCGCUCCGCACUAGCCUGGCCGUAGCCCUCCCAGUGCCCGUGGCCGUCUCCACUGCAAAGCUGUUCACGCUUUUUUCUGAUGUGAUUUUUAAGACCUCUGACAUUGCCUGUUUACUGGGACAUUGCUGGCAAUAGACCCCCCCACCCCGGACCAGUUUUUGGGUUAUCUCCUCGCCUACGGGCACACUGUUCUGAGCCCCUCCUGCAUCGAUGUCCGAAUUUUGCUAAGGAUUUUUAACCCAGGAUAUUUCACCAUGAAUGACUGAAUGUAGAGGGGGAAAAAAAACAAACAAAAAACCACAAACCCAGCCUAGCAAAGCCUGUGUGGAGAUUGUAAAGUGCUGAAAAACCUUUUUUUAAAAGCCAGAGAGAAUUGUGCCCUGUACUGAGUUAUUGUUUGAAUAAAAGUUUUAUUUAUUGCAUUGAGCUGGGCCUCGGUGUCUUUUUCGGCUGCCGUGCCUGCGUGCUGCCCUCAGCGCCUGCAUCGCCCACCGCGCAUUCCCAGGCCGUGUUUUUGUUCCCUGCUCCGGCCCCGGGGAUGCUGCCUGUGCGCGCUCAGCCCCUCGGCACUAAACAGCUUCGCUGAGCGGGAGCAGCGACAGCUGCUUUAGAGCCGGGUCCCCUCCCUGAGCAUCCGAGGGGUGAUGCUGCUCCUGCUCCCGCAUGCCAAGGCUCCGGCUGCGCUUUCCCGGCGGUGGGAAAGCGGCGAUGGCCGGCACGGGGGAAGGAAGCCGCCCCCUCCCUUCCGCAGCCCCCGCCGUGCCCGGCCGCUGCACUCCCUCAGCUCCCGGCUGGCCGUGCCCUUCCUUCCCCUCCUCACAGCACCAGCGACUCAAUAAACACGACUUUUCCUCCUUUUUCUUCUUUUUCCUCCUGUUUCCUCUGCCUGCUAGCGCUGCGUGCGGGGUGGCCAGCGGGCUCUCGGGCCAGGUGGCCACCGGCUCGUGGCCUUAAGUCUCUCCUUAACCACGACCUUCUGUUCCCAUCAAGCGUCCCGGCGUCCUCCAACCUGCCUUCUGUUUCCCUUGCAGCCCCGAUGUUGAAGUGGCCAGGUUUUGAGGUGGCCCUGCCCGUAGUUAGAACCCCUUUGCCAACGUCCAGCUGAAGCCAACGGUGACAAACGACCGCUCGGCCCCGCUCAUCAGCUGAUCCGGGAGCACUGGCGCCCGCGUGGCACUCGCCACCCCUCACCCUCCUCAUCCUCCUCCUCGCUGCUGCAUGCCCAGCUUCCCAGGACUCCAUUUCUAGGCCGAAUUUAUUAAUCCUGCUGCUUUGAAAGCCAAAGGCUCAAGCUAGUGCCCUAGUUCUCUCUUCUCUAGACUCCCUCGGUGGCAGGGGGUCACAGCGCUGCCAUGUCACCUGUCCUCUGCCUGUGCUGAGUGUGGUGGCACUUCCCGGAGUCAGGGCAGCGUGUCCCAGAGCCGGGGUGGCUCCCAGGCCCAGCAGCAGCUUGCUGUGGGUGGGGAAACGGGCUCAGCUGGAGAACAACUCCGUGGGCUCACAGUGCUCCAGGCAGAGAGGACACGGUGCCCCUGCUCUCCCUGCCCAGACAGGAGGGACCCCCCUGCAAGCCAAGCAUGGUGGGUGGCACAGGCAGCGCCCAGGCCGUGCUCCGGGCUGGGGCAGGGCAGUGGGUGCCAGCACUGCAGCCCCCGCUGGCACGGGGUCAGCUCCGGUCCCUGAGCUCCUGCUGUGCCAGGGCUCGGGAUGCUGCAGGGAAUCACGGUACUGCUGUCAAAUAUAAGCUAGGAAAAAACCACUCGUGGAGGAGAGGGCAGUGUGUGAGUGAGCCUUGGAGUGCCCCUGCUCGCUGCAGACAGGAGCUCCCAUCCGGACCUCUUGCUUGGCUGUUUGCUCUUCCUCUAUUCCUAGGGCUGCAUGAGAGAGAGAGAUAGAUAGAGAUCAAUAUAUAUCAAUAUAUAUACACACACACUUGCUAAGCUUACUGCUGGGGGUGCCCACGAGAAGGUGGCUCCCGCAGCCCUUCCCGCAGCUCCUGAGUGGCCAGGGUCACAUCCUUGCUCAAAAACAGGGAGAGGAGUUUCCAGGCAGGAACUGUGUCUCCCAUGGGUGAGGGCUUGAACCCAAACAGUUUUUGCUUUUUCCGUUGUAUUUCUCCUUUUGCACUUUCUGCUCACUGGUGCAGCAUGUCCUGGUCCCCACAGCCCGGGCAGUGGCUGCUUGGCUGGGCACUGGGCAGGGCACAGAGUGUCCCCAGCCCAGGGGCUCGGUCCCAGUCAGACGUGGUGGCUCAUCCCUCCUGUGUCCCCUCUGAUGGGUUUUCCAGCUCCACUGCAGGACAACAGCUUCUCCUGUGACUGCCCAGGCUCCAGCUCUGCACGAGGGUUCCCAGCUCCAUGAUGUGCCUCCUCUUCCUCUCCCAGGGCUGGAGCAGAUGGGUGCGGGGUGGACAGGGCAGGGGCAAGGGAAAGGGCUCUGCUGGGGGGUGAGGCAGUGGUGGGAGAGGGCUGGUGGUCACAGCCCGUGUUGGGGACAGGCCUGGGGUCCCCUUGGCCACUGCAGUGUCCUCUUCCACCCCCGUGCCAGGGGCUGUCCCCUGGGCCCCCCAAGCUGCCACCCUGGCUCCAGCCAGCCCCCGGGGGCUUCGCUGCACCUCCUGGCUCGGUGGCACCUGUAAGACGUAACCUGCAAUAAUUUUUUAUCAGAAAACAUAAUUUAUGAGCAAUUCAACCUCCCCCAGCCCUCCCUCCUGCAGCGUUUCCCCUGGCCAGAAGCUCCUGCCUGGCCCUGGAGCGUGGCCGGGGCCCUCCUGAGCUGGCUCCAUCCUGGGUGCUGGGCAAUGAUCGGGGCAGGAAACGGCUUAAGAUAUUUUAAAAACUUUAUUAUUGGCCCGAUGAGAUUUGACACACAUGCUGGGAGCUGUAUGGAAAUCAGCACUGAUAAAAAAUACAGCAAUUAUGACCCGUAUUGAGAAAAUAGACCAUGUAAGAAGAGCCUUUCUAUUAAAAAAGUUACCCAA